RNAcentral lists this ribosomal RNA (468 nucleotides) under uncultured bacterium. RNAcentral's name for it is "partial 16S ribosomal RNA". It matches the Rfam family "Bacterial small subunit ribosomal RNA", at positions 28 to 507 of the family's 1533-position model. The record is from RNAcentral.
GACGAACGCUGGCGGCGUGCUUAACACAUGCAAGUCGAACGGAGAGGCUCUGAUUUUGUGGGGGGCUUGAUUGGCGAAGGGGUGAGUGACACGUGAGUAACCUCGCCUUGACAUUCGGAUAUCGUCAGGGAAAUGGGGCUAAUAACGGAAAGGAGAUCCUGCAGCAUAGUGGGGGUAGGCAAGUUGCGGCGGUUGGGGAUGGACUCGCGGCUUAUCAGCUUGUUGGUGGGGUAGUGGCUUGCCAGGGCAUAGACGGGUAGCCGGCCUGAGAGGGUGACCGGGGACAUUGGGACUGAGAGACGGCCCAGGCUCCGACGGUAGGCAGCGGUGGGGAAUAUGACACAAUGAGCGGGAGCCAGAGGCAGCAGCUCCGCGUGCGGGAUAACUGGCUUCGAGUUGGGAACCGCUGUCGCCUUUGACGAGGAGAGAGUGACGGUAAUGGGUAAAGAAGCACCGGCUAACUACGUG